CUCUGCUGAAUGCUGAUUCUGCAUAAGAUUACCAAUUAUUUAUAAUUAACUUUAUUUUACAUUCCAUACAUCUAUUAUCAAUUAAAAAGUAAUUAAAAAUGGGCGAGGUAUCGUUAGAAACAUCCGCCUAUGCAAAAUUAAUACUACAUGCGGCGAAAUAUCCGCAUUGUGCUGUGAAUGGAGUACUUCUUGCUGAUGGUACUAAAAUAAGAUCGGGAGCCAAAAAUCAAGACUUAGAUAUUGUGGAUACGGUGCCAUUGUUCCAUCAUAGUCAUUAUUUAUCUCCAAUGGCAGAAAUUGCCCUCACACAGAUAGAGACAAUAGCCCAGGCUGAUAACAGAGUUAUAGCUGGUUAUUAUGCUGCCUGUGAGAAUUUCCGAGAUAAUACAGUUGAAAAGUGUCCAGGACAAAAGAUCGCUGAAAAGAUUGUUGAACAUUUUCCAUCAGCUGUCUUCAUAGUUAUUGACAAUAAAAAGUUUGUGCAACAUUUGGAGACUCCAGCUAUAAAGCUACACAAGUACACCGAAGGAAAAUGGAAGCCAAAGGAUGCCAACAAAGUGCUGUUCCAAACACCAUAUGUAUUGGAAACUGUUUCGCACUUACUACAGCGUGGUGUACAGAAGGACCUUAUAGAUUUCGACAACUACUUGGAUGAUCUCUCACAGGAUUGGACUAAUCUAGGCAUUGAAAAACUUAUUGCCAGUAUAAAUGCAUCAAACUCCAUUGAUUGUAUGGGAUUUGAAAAGGAUACCGAGUCUCACUUCCAGGAACUUAAAUACUGAUUAAAGUCAGAAUAGCUUGUAUGUCUGUAAUCUGAAUGAUCAUUGACUGAUGGCAGCCAAUCAUGCAAGAGCGACGAAUGAGUCACCUUUUAAACUAAAUUUUAUCUAAAUAUAUUAUCUAGACUCAUUGAAAGCUACAGAUUAUAAAAGCCAAAUAUUACCUAGACUCAUUGAAUACAACAGAUUAUAUCCAAAUAAGUUAAUCCUGGUUUAACCAAUAAUCAAAAACUGGAGUAUAAUAAAGAGAUUGUUACAAAAGAGUCAGUACCACUGUAUGUUGUAUAACCCUUAAACAAAAUAAAUGUAAAAUGGUAUAGGUAAAAAAUAUUGUUUAAUUUCUGGGAGAAUUGUUAUAUUAUUUGACUUAUAUUAUGUCGAUGAGACACGUUUAGUAGAUUUAUUUUAGUUAUUAUUGAUUGUUUUGUUAAAGGACUGUUUUCACUGAGAAUGGAAUUACAUAUUGGCAUUUCUUUGAUAAUAUAGAAAAUUAUUCUAUAACAUUCUAGAAUGUAUUAUGAAAAUUAACGAUGAAAUCAUUGUCAGUUUCCAUGAAUUGGUUUCAAAAUAUUAUAAAGCUAAAGACAUUUCAAUAGGGU
Molecule: RNA transcript, 1378 nt
Organism: Vanessa atalanta (red admiral)
Lineage: Eukaryota; Metazoa; Arthropoda; Insecta; Lepidoptera; Nymphalidae
Gene: EMC8-9
Gene name: ER membrane protein complex subunit 8/9 homolog
Exons: 6
Source: RefSeq, a predicted model, not a curated record